Molecule: ribosomal RNA, 368 nt
Filed under: uncultured organism
Description: bacterial SSU rRNA
Rfam family: Bacterial small subunit ribosomal RNA
Source: RNAcentral
CGGAGGAUCCAAGCGUUAUCCGGAUUCAUUGGGUUUAAAGGGUGCGUAGGCGGAAUGGUAAGUCAGUGGUGAAAGCCCUUCGCUUAACGAAGGAACUGCCUCUGAUACUGCCAAUCUUGAGUACAUUUGAUGUGGGCGGAAUGUGUCAUGUAGCGGUGAAAUGCUUAGAUAUGACACAGAACACCGAUUGCGAAGGCAGCUCACAAAACUGUAACUGACGCUGAGGCACGAAAGCGUGGGGAUCAAACAGGAUUAGAUACCCUGGUAGUCCACGCCGUAAACUAUGAUCACUCGAUGUGUGCGAUAUACUGUACGCGUCCAAGCGAAAGUGUUAAGUGAUCCACCUGGGGAGUACGAUCGCAAGAUUG